RNAcentral lists this transfer RNA (75 nucleotides) under Tidjanibacter sp. RNAcentral's name for it is "tRNA-Arg". It matches the Rfam family "tRNA". Rfam says of the family: Transfer RNA (tRNA) molecules are approximately 80 nucleotides in length. Their secondary structure includes four short double-helical elements and three loops (D, anti-codon, and T loops). The record is from RNAcentral. Lineage: Bacteria; Pseudomonadati; Bacteroidota; Bacteroidia; Bacteroidales; Rikenellaceae.
GGUUCCAUAGUUCAACGGAUAGAACGACAGUUUCCUAAACUGUAAAUCUGGGUUCGAUUCCCGGUGGGACUACCA